GAUGAACGCUGGCGGCGUGCCUAAUACAUGCGAGUCGAGCGAACAGACGAGGAGCUUGCUCCUCUGACGUUAGCGGCGGACGGGUGAGUAACACGUGGAUAACCUACCUAUAAGACUGGGAUAACUUCGGGAAACCGGAGCUAAUACCGGAUAAUAUAUUGAACCGCAUGGUUCAAUAGUGAAAGACGGUUUUGCUGUCACUUAUAGAUGGAUCCGCGCCGCAUUAGCUAGUUGGUAAGGUAACGGCUUACCAAGGCAACGAUGCGUAGCCGACCUGAGAGGGUGAUCGGCCACACUGGAACUGAGACACGGUCCAGACUCCUACGGGAGGCAGCAGUAGGGAAUCUUCCGCAAUGGGCGAAAGCUUGACGGAGCAACGCCGCGUGAGUGAUGAAGGUCUUCGGAUCGUAAAACUCUGUUAUUAGGGAAGAACAAAUGUGUAAGUAACUAUGCACGUCCUGACGGUACCUAAUCAGAAAGCCACGGCUAACUACGUG
This 497-nucleotide ribosomal RNA is filed under the name uncultured bacterium. RNAcentral's name for it is "partial 16S ribosomal RNA". It matches the Rfam family "Bacterial small subunit ribosomal RNA", at positions 28 to 507 of the family's 1533-position model. The record is from RNAcentral.